GUAGGCUUAGUUUAACAAAAAUAUUAGAUUGUGAUUCUAAAGAUAAAGAUUAAACUUCUUUAGCCCACC
RNAcentral lists this transfer RNA (69 nucleotides) under Physiculus nematopus (charcoal mora). RNAcentral's name for it is "tRNA-His". It matches the Rfam family "tRNA". From Rfam's summary of the family: Transfer RNA (tRNA) molecules are approximately 80 nucleotides in length. Their secondary structure includes four short double-helical elements and three loops (D, anti-codon, and T loops). The record is from RNAcentral. Lineage: Eukaryota; Metazoa; Chordata; Actinopteri; Gadiformes; Moridae.